AACGAACGCUGGCGGCAUGCCUAACACAUGCAAGUCGAACGAAGUCUUCGGACUUAGUGGCGCACGGGUGCGUAACGCGUGGGAAUCUGCCCUUGGGUGCGGAAUAACUUCUCGAAAGGGAUGCUAAUACCGCAUAAUGUCGUAAGACCAAAGAUUUAUCGCCCAAGGAUGAGCCCGCGUAAAGAUUAGCUAGUUGGUGGGGUAAAAGCCUACCAAGGCGACGAUCUUUAGCUGGUCUGAGAGGAUGAUCAGCCACACUGGGACUGAGACACGGCCCAGACUCCUACGGGAGGGCAGCAGUGGGGAAGUAAUUGGACGAAUAGGCGGAAAGGACC
This 335-nucleotide ribosomal RNA is filed under the name uncultured bacterium. RNAcentral's name for it is "bacterial SSU rRNA". It matches the Rfam family "Bacterial small subunit ribosomal RNA", at positions 29 to 383 of the family's 1533-position model. The record is from RNAcentral.